GCCCCGGUAGUAUAGCUCGGUUCAGUAUGCGGGCCUGUCGAGCCCGUGACCCGGGUUCAAAUCCCGGCCGGGGCG
RNAcentral lists this transfer RNA (75 nucleotides) under Vulcanisaeta sp. RNAcentral's name for it is "tRNA-Asp". It matches the Rfam family "tRNA". From Rfam's summary of the family: Transfer RNA (tRNA) molecules are approximately 80 nucleotides in length. Lineage: Archaea; Thermoproteati; Thermoproteota; Thermoprotei; Thermoproteales; Thermoproteaceae. The record is from RNAcentral.